This 482-nucleotide ribosomal RNA is filed under the name uncultured bacterium. RNAcentral's name for it is "partial 16S ribosomal RNA". It matches the Rfam family "Bacterial small subunit ribosomal RNA", at positions 28 to 507 of the family's 1533-position model. The record is from RNAcentral.
GAUGAACGCUAGCGGCAGGCCUAAUACAUGCAAGUCGAACGAGAUUAAGAGGCUUGCUUCUUAUGAAAGUGGCGCACGGGUGCGUAACGCGUAUGCAACCUACCUUAAUCAGGGGGAUAGCCCGAAGAAAUUCGGAUUAAGACCGCAUAAAAACACAGGAUAGCAUUAUCCAAUGUUCAAAUAUUUAUAGGAUUAAGAUGGGCAUGCGUGUCAUUAGCUAGUUGGCGGGGUAACGGCCCACCAAGGCGACGAUGACUAGGGGAUCUGAGAGGAUGACCCCCCAGACUGGGACUGAGAAACGGACCAGACUCAUACGGGAGGCAGCAGUAAGGAAGAUUGGUCAAGGGAGGGAACUCUGAACCAGCCAUGCCGCGUGCAGGAAGACAGCCCUCUGGGUCGUAAACUGCUUUUAUUCGGGAAUAAACCUUUCUACGUGUAGGAAGCUGAAUGUACCGAAGGAAUAAGGAUCGGCUAACUCCGUG